This is a non-coding RNA of Caenorhabditis elegans, 488 nucleotides long. The record is from Ensembl. Lineage: Eukaryota; Metazoa; Nematoda; Chromadorea; Rhabditida; Rhabditidae.
AGAACGCUUAAUAUUUGUCAGAUGUUUUUGAGUUGAUGAUUGUGGAAUAGAAAGGUUUUGUCACAAAACGAUUUGCACACAAAACGACUAAUCGAAAACACAUGGCAGUUUCCCACUCAUUACUCGCAAGAGACACAGCGAAAAUGUUGCACAAUUUCAGAAAAACAUUUUUUUCGAUGUUCUUCUAAAAAGUCACUAUUUACGUAAUGGUCUAUUUACAUGUAUUCAACCAUGUUUUCAAAUAAUUCCAAAGUUGGUUGCGGGACGUUCCAUCCCUUUUACCAUUUUAUUGAAAUGGCUUGAUAAAAACAGUAAUUAAAAAAUAUAUACAGGCAUAUUUCGAGUGUUUGCCUACUGCUUUUUUUUUAAAUGUCGGUUUUAAGUUUAUUAAAUUUUACAAAAAAACUGGAGCAAAGCGAUACUGUUAAUCAGAAAAAAAGCCCAAAUGGUUAGUUGAUAGAAAUUUAUUUUUUAACGUCAUUCCAUAA